AGCCCCGACUCCCCAUCCACCGCCUCCACCUCAUGGGCCACCGGGUCCACCCUCGAUGUCCAGCUUGGCGACAUCAUUGACCAUGGUGUCGACGAGCUCCGCCUCCUGCACCCCCUCCGCCUCCUCGCCCCUUCUGCUGAGGUCCGCGUCGGCGCAUUCCUGCCAUAGUCGGCAACCAAUAGGAGCAUAAAACUGGAGCUAGGGAUUGCAGAUGUUGCAGGUACAUGUCAUACAUGAAUGGACAUGAACAGGCACUCCCACUGAGGGCGCUUCUUGGCUUCGUCUGCAGAGGCUUGCUGAUACUUGGCAUAGGAUAUUGUUAAUUCCAGUGACUGGUGGAGUAGUUGUGGGCCACUUCUCAAAAUUGUUCCACAACACAAUAUUUACCAAUCUAUACAUCCAUACAUCAUUCAGGAAUGCUAGAUCUUGAUAGCGAGACAACGUUCUUCGGCGUUUUUAUGGUCAUGGAGCGAGCGUCUUGCUAAAAGUAGUUACACAGGUGAUCGUUUGAAGGAAACUCAAGUUCAAGGACCCAUGAGUAUCCGAGAAAAAACUCCCAAGAAAUCUUCCCAAAACUGAAUGUUGCCUUCUACCAUCAACAACCUUUGAAGUUCUAGGGUGUUUAUUUUUGUAUGCUCUCUACAAUUAUGUAUAUAUAUGCUUCUUCAUCCUUUUCAAGACAAUUUUAUAAAUAUAACAACUUAAUUUCAAACGUUGAAACACGAUAAUUUACCUAACUCUAUUUAGAUGAGUAUAUGUAUAUUUUGCUCAAAAUGUUAUCACUUAUAUUACAAUUUUUUGCACGCGCGCAAUGCGCGCACCAGCUACCAGUAGCAAAUCGUUGAUCGUGUUUCUGGAAGACGAAGUCCCUGACAUGAAUAACUAUAUGAAAAAAUAUAUUAGAAAAAAAGAUAGCAUGACCCAUCUAAAUCAAAAGUCCAUUAAUUCGCGAGAAAAUUGGAUUUAUACCAUUAUGAAACUUAGAAUUCGCUUAAAUGUUAUUACGAGAACACACUUCACUAAGAAAUCAUUAUCAAACGUUGUCUUAGAGACAAAAUGUCAUUUAUAGAGUUAUUUGAAACUUAACCUUAUUUGAUUAUAUUGGCAGUGAC
Zea mays is the source of this 1112-nucleotide RNA transcript. It is a transcript of the gene named chloride channel protein pseudogene, with no coding region annotated. The record is from RefSeq and is marked validated. The transcript is spliced from 5 exons. NCBI's taxonomy places the organism in Eukaryota, Viridiplantae, Streptophyta, Magnoliopsida, Poales, Poaceae.